GCCCGUUUAGCUCAUCGGUAGAGCGCAUCACUAGUAGUUCAACUACAGGAAGUUCAACUAGAGGAAUGAUGAGGUGACUGGUUCGAUUCCAGUAAUGGGCA
Molecule: non-coding RNA, 101 nt
Organism: Diaporthe sp. PMI_573
Lineage: Eukaryota; Fungi; Ascomycota; Sordariomycetes; Diaporthales; Diaporthaceae
Source: the annotation of a GenBank genome assembly